AUUGAACGCUGGCGGUAGGCUUAACACAUGCGAGUCGAGCGAGAAAGUAUCUUCGGAUAUGAGUAGAGCGGCGGACGGGUGAGUAACGCGUAGGAAUCUACCUAGUAGAAGGGGAUAGCCCGGGGAAACUCGGAUUAAUACCGUAUACCUCCUAAGGGAGAAAGAGGGCCUCUCUUGAUGCUCUCGCUAUUAGAUGAGCCUGCGUAAGAUUAGCUUGUUGGUAAGGUAAUGGCUUACCAAGGCUACGAUCUUUAGCUGGUCUGAGAGGACGAUCAGCCACGUUGGGACUGAGACACGGCCCAGACUCCUACGGGAGGCAGCAGUGGGGAAUAUUGGACAAUGGGCGCAAGCCUGAUCCAGCCAUACCGCGUGUGUGAAGAAGGCCUUCGGGUUGUAAAGCACUUUAAGCAGGGAGAAAAAGCAAUAAGUUAAUACCUUAUUGCCGUGAUGUUACCUGCAGAAUAAGCACCGGCUAAUUCCGUGCCAGCAGCCGCGGUAAUACGGAAGGUACAAGCGUUAAUCGGAAUUACUGGGCGUAAAGCGCGCGUAGGUGGUUUGUUAAGUUGGAUGUGAAAGCCCUGGGCUCAACCUAGGAACUGCAUCCCAAACUAACUCACUAGAGUACGAUAGAGGGAGGUAGAAUUCAUAGUGUAGCGGUGGAAUGCGUAGAUAUUAUGAAGAAUACCAGUGGCGAAGGCGGCCUCCUGGAUCUGUACUGACACUAAGGUGCGAAAGCGUGGGUAGCGAACAGGAUUAGAUACCCUGGUAGUCCACGCCGUAAACGAUGACAACUAGCUGUUGGGAGACAAUGUCUUUCAGUGGCGCAGCUAACGUUUUAAGUUGUCCGCCUGGGGGAGUACGGCCGCAAGGCUAAAACUCAAAUGAAUUGACGGGGACCCGCACAAGCGGUGGGAGCAUGGUGGUUUAAUUCGAUGCAACGCGAAAAACCUUACCUACUCUUGACAUACUUGGA
RNAcentral lists this ribosomal RNA (973 nucleotides) under uncultured bacterium. Its description in RNAcentral is "bacterial SSU rRNA". It matches the Rfam family "Bacterial small subunit ribosomal RNA", at positions 28 to 994 of the family's 1533-position model. The record is from RNAcentral.